GAAAGGCCUCUUGAAAGUUUCUUUUUCUCCUGGGAGGCAGUUAUAACCGGGGCCCUCUGGUUAAUACUGGAAAAACCCUGAGUGACAAAUCCAGCCGCCUAGGAGUUUUCCUCUCCCUCCUGUUCAGAUGUGCUGGGUGUUAAGAGUUCUCUGGCACAAUAGAGAAGCAGAGGGAAAGAGAAAAUGAAAGUGGCCUUUUUAUAUGAGGACCUGGAGAGGAACCCACAACCUGCAGGGUUUGGCUUUCUACUCCCACUGGAUCCAGAAGAGCAGAAGGCUUCCUUCUGCCCCAUGUCUACUGCAGUGCCAGGCGUCACGGGAGCUGUGUUGUGGAUUUACCCUCUGGCAUGGCAUCAGUGAGCACUUGUUCAUCCUGCAGUAAAUAUUACUGAGCGCUCCAUUUAUUCUAGGCUUUGUGCUGAGACCUGGACUUUCUCACAACACUGCUGCCCCUGCUCCCGGGAAGGCAUCCUGAGACAGGCAGAAGAGAGGUGUUGUGCGUGCCAUUCCACAGUGCGUCCCACAGCCCUGUUGGUGUCCUGGCCUUCACACAUGCCUUUCUUUCUGUUGGUAACUUCCACUAACCUUAAUGCAAUGCUCCGAUAGUUUGUAUAAGUGAGAAUAUUUGCAGCGUCUUCUCCCAAGAAGAGAUCCAGAAAUUUCUCUGUCACUGUUCCUAUCUCGAGGUGGUUGUUCCUCCUCUCCUUUAUCACAAUCUCACCCUUAAUAACCUGUAACAUGUGCAUUAAACAAAGUCAUAAAUUUUUUUAAAAUCAGUACCGGGGAUUGAACUCACGACUCUACAAGCUUGCAGGGCAGGUGCUUAUGCCACUGAGUUCUAAAUCCCCAGCCCCUAACCCCCUUUUUUUGAAUCAAAGUCAUAAAUUAAACACUAUAUAAAAUAGUAAGAGAAAAAAAUGAGAUAAAAGGAAACUUGGUCACUUUAUAAAAAUAUAUUCAUAGGAAAAAGUACACGUAGCUACUCCUGUCCAGUUUUUGCAACUGAUGAUGAAGAAUGUUUAAGUUUCAUUAUGGCCGACUCCAUGACUGUGCCAUAUUCCUGUCAAUCCCACAAGAGCCUUGCUAUGCAGUUCUGGCUGGCCUCGACUCAAGGCAAUCCUGCCUCAGCCUCCUGAGUCCUGGGAUUUCAGAUGUGCACCACCAUGCAUGAUUCUAUUGGUGUACUUUAGAUAUACAUGAUCAUCACCUUCAUCAUGGAGAAUCUGAACUUGAAUUAGAACUUUUUCCCCCUCCCAUGCCCUCUCUGUCACCCCUCCCUCCCCUCCUCCUUUUUUAGUGUUUUGAGAUAGGGUUUGCUGUGUAGUGCAGGUUGGUUGUGAACUGCCUCAGCCUCCUGAGUGCUGAGGUUACAAGUGAUUCCUGGCUCAAGAUUGUAUCUUUGAACUCAAUAAUCCGUUUCAGUCUACAUUUGCCCCUGCUGUAGUCAAGGUAAUUCCAUGUAUAGACACAGACACCUGACUGUUCCUCAUGUGUCCUAGGAGGCUUGUGCCUAACCUACUCAUACAAUGAGAUAAUAUCUUCAUUUUUUCUGUAUGGUACUGUUAGAAUUUUAUAUGAUUAAAAAUAAUAUGUACAAA
Long non-coding RNA from Cavia porcellus (domestic guinea pig), 1598 nucleotides. RefSeq lists it as uncharacterized. The transcript has 5 exons. The record is from RefSeq and is a predicted model, not a curated record. Lineage: Eukaryota; Metazoa; Chordata; Mammalia; Rodentia; Caviidae.